CCAUCCAAUCUUUCAAGUUUAACCUUAAAAACAGCCUGAAACCCUUUAACCUUAAUCCAUUUACGACCCUUUCAGCCGCCUCAAUUUCCUCUUUCCCUCUCCUAUCUUUCAAAUCUCAUGAAUGUAAAUCAACAGAACUUGCACAAAUUUGUGCAAGGUUAUGACACCUCUAAUCAAAUCUUCCUCUCAUACUUCACUAUCUGUGAAUUUACGCUGACAUUUUCCCUUUUUGUGUUCUUCAAAUCUGAAUCACAAGAAUCCUGACCGUAGCAACGAGACACUACCUCGUUUUCAUUCUUUCAAAUCCAAACUCAGAAAGUCAUGCGCUUUGUCCCUAGGAUGUAAGGCUUAUAUUUAUUUUGUAUUUCCAUCACUAAAUUCAAACCCUUUACGUAAAACCCUAGACCUAAAGGACGAAACUUUGAUUUGUCUAAUUUCUCCAUUCUUUCUUUCAAAUCGGAGCAUACAUGGUUGAUAUCUUCAGCUUCAUCUUCAUUAUUCUUUUUUUAAAGGUCAAACGCAGUAACCUCCGAAAAUUAACGCUUGACCACUAGCGGAAGACAUCAAUGGUCGACCUUCUCCCUUCUCAAGUAAAAAAAUCCUUAUCUUUUUCCCUCUGUUCUUCUCUGAUUUCACUCAGUUUUCUCAUAUCAUCAACUCCUCGUCAUCGUCCACUAUCAAUUUUCAAUUUUGUUGAACCCUUGAGGCAUUGAAUGUCACUAUAAAAGUAUUCUUCAAUGCUCUCACCUAACAACAAAAGACAAACCACAAAAUCACUUAACAAACAAAGGAAAAAAAUUAGUUUUAGUCUUGAGUAGUAAAAACCAAGCUAUGAUUUUCUAAUUAGUUUCUAAUUUCUUUCUGAUUCUGAUCCUGACACUAGUCGGUGUUUGAGUUCUUGAUUUUUUGUGGCGAAGAAAGAGUCUUUGUUUAUUCAGCUGCCAUAGGAAAGGUCAAAACAGUUCUACCGUUUCUCUUCUGAUUGGCUUCAUUUAAAAAUCAUAAACGUACUUUUAUUUUUCUAUUAAGUAAUUUCAUCCAUAGCAUUUGCUAUUAGACUAUAAUUAUUUGAUUUAGUUCAACACCGCCUUUUAUUGAUUUGUGGUUAGCUAUUAUGUUUUAUCAGUUUUCAUUGAGUAACCAUGAGCUCUAAAUGUCUUCGGUUAUAUUCAGUAUCAAGCAUGCAUAUUAAAUAUUCUAUGUGAUUAAACUACUUGAUAUGCCUUAAUGACUUUUCGCUUUUUUAUAAGCUUCAGGUUUUCUUAUAAUGAUCCAGCAAUGAUCUUUACUCCUGUCAUAUUGUUUCCUGCAUUUUGUUAUUAGGGCAGUUAUCUGAUAAUUCUGACUAGUACAAACAUGAAAGCUCACAGUUUAACUCUUGAUCACUUAGCUAAAAUAUUUUAAGUUAAAGUGUUUAAAUGCUCUCCUUCUUGGUAUAAAUGAUUUUUAACUUUUAAAAAUCCUUUGAAUCAUUAUUAUGAAUACUUUAUAUUCAUGUAUAAUUGUCAGUUGCAUCUCUAAGUAUGAACAUCAAUGGUCAUUCUUCACAUGUUUUUUUUUUUAAGAUCAACCUACCUCAUAUGAAUUCGACUAUAAUUGUUUUUGCUAUAUUUGAAUGUUUAACUAUUUUAAAAGUUUAAUGUAACUCCACCAUGUGUAGCUAUCAAUCUUGGUCUGUAUAGUUGAGUUAAGGUUGCUUAGUGUGAAGUUUUUCUGUUCUUAGACCUUUAAUGAUACUAACAAUCUGACUUUGUAAUGGUUGAGAGUCAUCCUAUCUUGUGAGGUCCUAACUUUGGUUGAAAUCUCUAUAUGUGUAGUUGAAUGAAAUUUUAGCAUGAAUCUUUAUUUAUCCUUUAUGACUUCAUACUUUUGUAAUAUUGUUUUGAAACAACACUUAGUUCCCUCUUUUCCUGUUAAUCUGAAUUGAAUCUAGUCUUACAGAAAUAUCUUGUUGUUAUUGAUUGAGUACCAUAACUUGGUUAUGUCAUUGUAUGAAUCUUUAUUAAGGUUCCAAGUACUAUUAUUAGCCAAUGUAUAUUCCAAUGACAAGAUCUGAUGUUAAACCAAUCUGUGAUCAAUUUAUUAUAGCAAUAGUAUUGUACCCCUAAGCUAUUACAGCUCCAAACUAUGUGCUUUUAGCAGUCUGAGAUGUGUGACUCUAGUUGUUUAGUUAUUCAAUGACAAUAGUAUAAGUGUUCUUGUCUCCAUGUGUGCUUGAAAACUUAACUUUUAGAACUUUUCAAUGUGUAUUUCAUUCACUUAAUAUUGGAAAUACAGUCUUGAAAAAUAAGCUGUUUCUGUGUUAUUUUGUUAAGAAAAGAGCAUGCUUUUGUGGUAAGGGGUGUUAUAGUGACUGGUUCACACUGGAAGAGCCUCACUGGCACUUAAACCUGUAGUGAAAAAUGAAAAGUUAAUGGUUUGGGGUAGCCGAGUUUAACUUUAGGUUGGGAUGCUCUUACCAGCACAAGCAUUGCCUUGGGCCUUGAGACCCUUGAGAACUUUGAAGUGUCGAGAAAGCAAAAGGGUGCAUCGACCUUGAGUGGAAUUAUCUCCUUGGUAGUUAAUUCUUAACACUUAUUAUUCUCUUCAGGUUUAGUGUUUAAUGACAACAAAAGGUGUUUGAUGUAGAUCAUUUACUAUACAUAACCACCACAUUAUUAUAACAUUUUUAGUGCUUAAAUACUAUCAGUUAUCUUUCCUUUAUUCUUUGAUUGCAACUUCCCAUGCAUGAUCAUGUAUAUGAUAUUAUCUUUCUAACAUGUACCAUAAUUUGGACCUACUGAGUUCUUUAAGAACUUAGGCCUAAACCCAAUUUUGUUUUCUCUCAAAAGGUCUAGAGUUAGCUGUUGAUCAUCUCUGUAUUGUUGGGCCCGCCACUUUGAGGCCCAAAAAUUAGAGUCCUUUUUUCCCCUUCGCUCCUUUAUUUACUGUUUUCAUUAUUCUAUACUUUUACUAUGUAAUUAUUCUUUACUGUGUUCCUGUCAUUUUAUCUCGUAUAUUUACAACAGUUAUAUAUUUUAUGGAAAACUUUAUUUUAUUUUUUUAUUCUUAAAAUGACUUAUUCAAGCCAUAAAGACCUAGGAUUAAAAGAAGCAUUAGUUAGUAACUAAUCUCAUAUUUGUAUCAGGACCUAAUUCGAGGACCACGACGGGCACCUGGUACCUUACUCAAUCAAGUACAAGCGUAACUUAUCUUUUUAUAUCAUAUUAUCAUAGAUAACUGAGCCAGAAGGCUGCUGUGAGAUAAGUAGAAUACAACAUAGCUACCGACUUAUACAUAAGGCACACUGGCCUAUAAUACCAAAAGACACACACGUACACUGAACAUAGGCCGAUAAGGCCAUAGAAUCCUUUACGUACAUGACAUCUAUUUACAUGCUUCUAAGAAUACAUAGUUUUCAUAAAAGUUAAGACAGAGUCCCGCCAUACCAAAUAAUACACGUCUAGAUAAUACAAACCAAACAAGUAAC
This 3469-nucleotide long non-coding RNA is filed under the name Nicotiana benthamiana. RNAcentral describes it as "long non-coding RNA (NBEN_LNC020112)". Lineage: Eukaryota; Viridiplantae; Streptophyta; Magnoliopsida; Solanales; Solanaceae. The record is from RNAcentral.